GCCGGGUGUUGUGGCGGGCGCCUGUAGUCCCAGCUACUUGGGAGGCUGAGGCAAGAGAAUCGCUUAAGCCCAAGAGCUGGAGGCUGCUGUGAGCUGUGACAGCACAGCACUCUACCGAGGGCAAUAAAGUCAGACUAUGUCUCUACCAAAAAAAAAAAAAAAAGACAGAGUCUCACUUUAUCACCCUUAGCAGAGUGCUGUGGCGUCACAGCUCAUAGCAGCCUCCAAGUCCUGGGCUUAGGCUAUUCUCUUGCCUCAG
Otolemur garnettii (small-eared galago) is the source of this 259-nucleotide non-coding RNA. The record is from Rfam. NCBI's taxonomy places the organism in Eukaryota, Metazoa, Chordata, Mammalia, Primates, Galagidae.